Long non-coding RNA from Cyprinus carpio carpio, 2303 nucleotides. Lineage: Eukaryota; Metazoa; Chordata; Actinopteri; Cypriniformes; Cyprinidae. The record is from Ensembl.
ACUUUGCAGAUGCAAUGACAUUUAACCUUUGGGAGCCUUCAUCAAAAUCGGAUUGGAUGAUAAGUAUCUUGUCCCCGGUGGUGUUUUCCAAAUAAUUCCUAAAUACAGAGAAAAGGGUUUUAAUUCAUUUAAUUAAGACCAAAUAUGCAUUUUUGUUGUGAUGUGACAAGAUGUAGUGAUGUUGUGAGCACAGUACUUGAUUUUCUUGAGAAAUGAGUGUUCAGUGUCAAAUUGCUGUAGUGAGAGGAGCUCUAUGUUUUGAACUACGUUCUGUAGCUGUUCAGUUUCUGCAGCAGUCAGAAGCCUUGAGAAUGUAGUCACCUAAGGAUUAGAAAAAAAAGAAUGCAAGUGCUAAGAUUGAAAUCUUAUGAAUUGCUCUAGAGCAGUGGUUCUAAAACAUUUUGACUCCAAAGUCCCUCAUUAUCUAUAACCGGAUUUGAAUGCCCCACAAUGUAAACUAAGAUAUAUCUGGUGCUUCUGCUGUAAUGAAAAAGCUGCUUUGCUUCAAUUAUUUUAUUUAAAGUAACUAGAAGUGGCAAUAUUUUAAAAUAUCCAAGUUUAAUAAUUAUAAAUAAGUAAAAUUAAAAUGAUUAAAUACUAAUUCCAUUGCCAGUUCACAUCUUGAUUUUUAAAGGUUUUAGCUCAUUUUAAACCUUGUUUUAAAGGUUUAGUUCACCCAAAAAUUAAUUACUCACCCUCAUUGGUAAAAUAAUACAUGUGGCAUCAGGUAUUCAACUGUAAUAUUACAAAGAAUACUUUUUGUGUGGAAACCCAAAAAAAUACACACUUUUUGUCACAGAAUAGCAUACAUUAUUUACGUUUAGUGGAUACUCUCCAAAAUGGCAACAGGGUGAUGCAGAGGAGACAAAUUGUUGAAUAAAGUCAUUAUUUUUGUUUUUUUUUGUGCACAAGAAGUAUUCUCAUAGCUUUGUAAAAUUACAGUUGAACCCCAGAUGCAACACUGAUUAUUUUACCGAUGUUCUUGUUAUGUUUCUGAACCUUGAUUGUGUAAGGAUCCUUGCUGUCUAUGGGAGGGUCAGAGAGCUCUCAGAUUCCAUCAAAAAUAUCUUAAUUUGUGUUCCGAAGAUGAACGGAGAUCUUACUGGUUUGGGACAACGUGAGGGUGAGUAAUUAAUGACAGAUUUUUCAUUUAUGGGUGAACUAUCCCUUUAAACCAUCUUUUUAAAGACUGCUGAGGCCCCCUAGUCAGUUCUAGCCCCUAAAUAAAAAACACUCUUCUACAGUAAUAAUCAGAGUAUUUAAAAUUCAAUGGAUUUACCUCUGUGAAAAAGGCAUGGCUUGGUCCUGCUUGCUGUAGGUGAGAAUGGAUGAAGUCAGCAAGGGAACUGUGCUUCUGGUCUUCAAAGUAUACCCUUGACAAGUGGUCACCUUCUACAUUGGAGAGGGUAGUGCAGUCCAGCCUAACCACGGCAUCUGGUGUUGCACAGUUUAAAAGGAUCAAUUUAGCCUCAUCUAAGAUCACUUUUCUAGGAUCUGAGAGCUUGUGCCCUUUGAGAUGCUCUGUAACUUGUAGCACAACAGAUGCACAAGUGUCCGAGUGGUAGCCAAUGAAAGCAUCAGCUGGAAGGUAACGGCGUGCUUGGGGAGCAAUUGAGUGCUUGCCUCUAGCAGAAAUGAAGGAUUGAACCCACUGCUCAAGCUUCUCAACAAGGUCUUUUUGCUCACUCUUUAGUACAGUAUUGAGGUCAAGAUAAUGUUUCUCCAAUCUGUUGAUCAAUGGAAUUGGAAACUGCUUGUACACAAUGUCCUUCUCUUCAAUGACAAUGAGCCUGAAAUCUCUGUGUACUCUGCAUUUGACUCUGUGGGUUCCAAGCCCCAAAUCCACAUAUUUCUGACCUCCAAGGCUAACGUAAUAUUGGUUGAGGGCAUCAUACAAGCUUUCGUACAAGUUCUGCAAGUUCAAAAGCACAACGGUUUGGCCAGUUUCCAUACAGAUCUUGACACGGUUAAUGUUGCGGCAUAUCUGAGUAUACUCCUGGUCUUUUGGAAAGCUUGAACCAAAGAUAAUCUCUGGCUGGUACUUGUCUGAAAAAAAUUCCUGCUGAAGAUUACCCAAGAGUCUCCUGGUCUUCGCUACUGAGUUUCCAACAGCUCUCUCCACUAAUCUUCUCCCUAUACACAAAUGACUGCAUUUCUACAGUAGUCAAACUAGUCAAACUCCUGAGGUAUACAGAUCAUACCACCAUGGCUGGACUUACCAUUGGGCUUGAAUGGGCUGCAGCCCAUGGGCCCCGCCUUGUAGGGGGCCCCACCUUUGCCCAUUUAAGUUUAUUUGAUUUAUU